CCAGACUGGGGACGCCGCCGUGCGGAGAUACACCAACAUGUCUUAAGCAUCUUUGCAGUAUUUCAAGUAAACGUGACAUUUUGAUGUUUGAGAAAAGUCACAGCUGAAGGGGGUCGUGGGGGUGUGGAGCGUACCCCAGAUGCUAUGGACACAAGGAAGGGAACAACCCAGGAUAUGGUGUCAUCCCAUUGCAGGGCACACUCACACACCAAAUCCAAUUCACCUUAGCAUGUCUUUGGACUGUGGUGGAGGGGUACCCUGAGCACCCAGGGGGGCGGACCCAGGGAGAACAUCUAAACUCCACGCAUGGAACCAGGGGGACACUCAAACCCUGGUCCCAUAGAGAGCGCCAGUAAUCAGAGGGGCGCUGUACCUACGUUUGAACCCUAGCAGAGCGACCAGACCCAGUAGCAGCAGGAAGAGGAGUGAGACAGAAAGGUACAGCGCAGGGCUGUAAACAUGGA
This is a long non-coding RNA of Brienomyrus brachyistius, 464 nucleotides long. RefSeq lists it as uncharacterized. The transcript has 3 exons. NCBI's taxonomy places the organism in Eukaryota, Metazoa, Chordata, Actinopteri, Osteoglossiformes, Mormyridae. The record is from RefSeq and is a predicted model, not a curated record.